UAUAAUGGGUCAGCGACUUAUAUUCUGUAGCAAGGUUAACCGUAUAGGGGAGCCGCAGGGAAACCGAGUCUUAACUGGGCGUUAAGUUGCAGGGUAUAGACCCGAAACCCGGUGAUCUAGCCAUGGGCAGGUUGAAGGUUGGGUAACACUAACUGGAGGACCGAACCGACUAAUGUUGAAAAAUUAGCGGAUGACUUGUGGCUGGGGGUGAAAGGCCAAUCAAACCGGGAGAUAGCUGGUUCUCCCCGAAAGCUAUUUAGGUAGCGCCUCGUGAACUCAUCUUCGGGGGUAGAGCACUGUUUCGGCUAGGGGGUCAUCCCGACUUACCAACCCGAUGCAAACUACGAAUACCGAAGAAUGUUAUCACGGGAGACACACGGCGGGUGCUAACGUCCGUCGUGAAGAGGGAAACAACCCAGACCGCCAGCUAAGGUCCCAAAGUCAUGGUUAAGUGGGAAACGAUGUGGGAAGGCACAGACAGCCAGGAUGUUGGCUUAGAAGCAGCCAUCAUUUAAAGAAAGCGUAAUAGCUCACUGGUCGAGUCGGCCUGCGCGGAAGAUGUAACGGGGCUAAACCAUGCACCGAAGCUGCGGCAGCGACACUAUGUGUUGUUGGGUAGGGGAGCGUUCUGUAAGCCUGCGAAGGUGACCUGUGAGGGUUGCUGGAGGUAUCAGAAGUGCGAAUGCUGACAUAAGUAACGAUAAAGCGGGUGAAAAGCCCGCUCGCCGGAAGACCAAGGGUUCCUGUCCAACGUUAAUCGGGGCAGGGUGAGUCGACCCCUAAGGCGAGGCCGAAAGGCGUAGUCGAUGGGAAACAGGUUAAUAUUCCUGUACUUGGUGUUACUGCGAAGGGGGGACGGAGAAGGCUAUGUUAGCCGGGCGACGGUUGUC
Molecule: ribosomal RNA, 890 nt
Filed under: Klebsiella quasipneumoniae subsp. similipneumoniae
Lineage: Bacteria; Pseudomonadati; Pseudomonadota; Gammaproteobacteria; Enterobacterales; Enterobacteriaceae
Also listed under: 2 other names
Description: partial 23S ribosomal RNA
Rfam family: Bacterial large subunit ribosomal RNA
Source: RNAcentral